GACGAACGCUGGCGGCGUGCUUAACACAUGCAAGUCGAGCGGUAAGGCCCUUUCGGGGGUACGACGAGCGGCGAACGGGUGAGUAACACGUGGGUGACCUGCCCUCAGCUCUGGGAUAAGCCUGGGAAACUGGGUCUAAUACCGGAUAUGACUCCAUGACGCAUGUUGUGGGGUGGAAAGCCUUGUGCGGCUGAGGAUGGGCCCGCGGCCUAUCAGCUUGUUGGUGGGGUGAUGGCCUACCAAGGCGACGACGGGUAGCCGGCCUGAGAGGGCGACCGGCCACACUGGGACUGAGACACGGCCCAGACUCCUACGGGAGGCAGCAGUGGGGAAUCUUGCGC
This 341-nucleotide ribosomal RNA is filed under the name uncultured bacterium. Its description in RNAcentral is "bacterial SSU rRNA". It matches the Rfam family "Bacterial small subunit ribosomal RNA", at positions 28 to 369 of the family's 1533-position model. The record is from RNAcentral.